UUUUGGUGAUGAUGGUGGCUAAAACUGGCUUUCGGAUGUUGACUAUGUUUUGAACUAACCCAUAUUUUGGCUGGUUGACGAGUUUAGGUUCGGUGGCUGCCCAAGGCCAGUCGCCGGGAUGCUUUCGGCCCCCUGCCUGGGGGACUCCUGUGAUUAGACGAUGACGAGGCUGACGCCGCCGCUGGCAGUAUUUGCCUUCGGCUCGGCUGAUGCGACAUGAGGCAUUUGUAUGAGGAGACCUGGCCAUCUCGGUAGUAAGGCCGCGCUGUUCUAGUGGGCUGUCACUAAUGCUCGCUGAUGUGACUUGCAGUUCAAUGCAGCUGGCGAAGAUGAAUAGGAGUCCGGUCUGCAGAGAAGACGUGAGGAAGAUUUGUGCGUGAUCGACGCGAAGUGAAAAUGCCUGUUUGCUGUCAUUGAAACGUCAAGGCAGCUACAAGAUACAAACUUCGUGGAGACGCAAAGACAUAUGAGUAGGGGAAACUUCAGGAAGAGUGACAAAUGCGCACUGAUGGAUCAGAAGGCCGCCUUGGUGGGCGUGUUUACAGGUCAAGGCAGCUGCAGGAUACAAACUUCGCUGAGACGCAAAGACAUAUGAGCAGGGGAAACUAGAACAAGAGUGACGAGCGCUCACUGCUUGGUCAGAAGGCCGGUUCCUCCCCUGGUUACAGGUCAAGGCAGCUGCAGGAUACAAACUUCGUGGAGACGCAAAGACAUAUGAGCAGGGGAAACUAGAACAAGAGUGACGAGCGCUCACUGCUUGGUCAGAAGGCCAGUUCCUCCCCUGGUUACAGGUCAAGGCAGCUGCAAGAUACAAACUUCGUGGAGACGCAAAGACAUAUGAGCAGGGGAAACUAGAACAAGAGUGACGAGCGCUCACUGCUUGGUCAGAAGGCCGGUUUGCUGGCACAGUUACAGGUGAGAUGCUUGUGUGGCUGGUGCUGUGAUGUACCUAUUGACCCAUUGGUGUUCUCUAAACAAUUAAUGGACAACCCUGACAGCAACAGCAAACUUCAGAAUAUUAACCUCUUUGGCAUUUGUUGCAUUGGCAUAAGCUAUUUUCCUUUUUGCUCAAUCUUUAGAUGGUUUGGUAGUGGCAGCUUCUAUCCCACUGUGUCCUCCAGCCACUACCUGAGCUGAUUUGGCAUGUGCUGUCCUAGCGGUCAGCGAUCUCCUGUGAUUAGACGAUGACGAGGCUGACGCCGCCGCUGGCAGUGCUUGUCUUCGGCUCGGCUGAUGCGACAUGAGGCAUUUGUAUGAGGUA
This is a long non-coding RNA of Pollicipes pollicipes, 1261 nucleotides long. RefSeq lists it as uncharacterized. The transcript has 5 exons. NCBI's taxonomy places the organism in Eukaryota, Metazoa, Arthropoda, Thecostraca, Pollicipedomorpha, Pollicipedidae. The record is from RefSeq and is a predicted model, not a curated record.